This is a small nucleolar RNA of Humulus lupulus (European hop), 107 nucleotides long. The record is from RefSeq and is a predicted model, not a curated record. Lineage: Eukaryota; Viridiplantae; Streptophyta; Magnoliopsida; Rosales; Cannabaceae.
AUUCCGUGGUAAGGACACUUCCUUAACAACUCCUUAAAUCUCUCCCAUUCAUCAUAUGGAAACUCCCCAUCGUAUUGGUGGAAAUUAUUUAUUUCACCUCUCAACUU